RNAcentral lists this small RNA (126 nucleotides) under Marmota monax (woodchuck). Lineage: Eukaryota; Metazoa; Chordata; Mammalia; Rodentia; Sciuridae. The record is from RNAcentral.
GCCGGGUGUGGUGGCGCACACCUGUCGUCCCAGCGGCUCGGGAGGCUGAGACAGGAGGAUCGCGAGUUCAAAGCCAGUUUCAGCAACUCAGCAAGGCCUAAGCAACUCAGUGAGACCCUGUCUCUC